RNAcentral lists this long non-coding RNA (902 nucleotides) under Malus domestica (apple). Its description in RNAcentral is "long non-coding RNA (MDOM_LNC000873)". Lineage: Eukaryota; Viridiplantae; Streptophyta; Magnoliopsida; Rosales; Rosaceae. The record is from RNAcentral.
GUGGUCCAAAUGUGUCAAAACGACACCGUUCUAUGAUAUGCUCCAUGCGGUUAGGCUUCAGGCUAGCAGCGAUGGUUCAGCGGAGGUGCCAAGGUGGUGCGGCGGCGGUGCCGAACGGUUCCCAAUUUUUUUUCCGACAUAACUAGGUUUGAAAAACCCUAAAUUGCUUCUAAUUUAUUUAUAUGCUUUAACUCACAAAUUCCACAUAGCAAUAUAAUUGCGUAAUGCAUGAAACAUAUAUAGACAUAUAUAUAUUGACAAAUAUAUAUAAACAUAAGGGUGUUCAUGCAUCAUGGGAUAUUUUCAUGCUUCAUGGUCAUUUCAAAUAUCUUACUUUAUUUUAAGUGUACUGAUUGUCAGAAAACAAAUAAAAGCAUUUGAAUUUUGUAGAAGAAAGCCUCCUCCUACGAUCAUUCAGUUCCUUAGCUUAUGGGAAGAGCGUGCUGAUAAUGUGUUGUAGUCCUAUUUAACUGAACUAUUAUAAGGGAAUAGAGAGGGAAUGACUACGGUAAUAAGAGAGAGUAUAUAGAGAUUUAAUUGUGAGGUGUGUGUUGUAUCACCCCAUUGUGCCCUUAUUUAUAGUAGUAGGAUAUGUUAAAUCCUUACCCUUUUAUGAUUACAACUUUAAUAUGAUAUUAAUUACUAAAGGGAAUAUUCAAAGAUAUCCCUAGAUAUACUAAGAUUUACACAAUCAUGUUUCUAUUCUAAAUAUGACUGCAACAGUCAAAUGCUUGUUUUUUUUUAACAAACAAUAUUAUCUACACUAAGGGAAAAUGGGUGGGUUUAGCCUCACAAUGAACUAGUAAUAAUGUGAUUCAAUCCGUUGUUUAUUAUUUUCUUGAUUCUUAAUGUAAAUUCAAUAGAAUGUAGAUAGAAAUUGAAAGAUUGAUUUUAUUAUGUGA